GUGCCUGCUUUGCAGCACAUAUACUAAAAUUGGGAUGAUACAGAGAAGAUUAGCAUGUCCCCUGCACAGGGAUGACACACAAAUUUGCAAAGCAUUCCAUAUUUAU
Molecule: small nuclear RNA, 106 nt
Organism: Ursus americanus (American black bear)
Lineage: Eukaryota; Metazoa; Chordata; Mammalia; Carnivora; Ursidae
Source: Ensembl